AACGUCUCAGUUCGGAUUGUAGUCUGCAACUCGACUACAUGAAGCUGGAAUCGCUAGUAAUCGCGAAUCAGCAUGUCGCGGUGAAUACGUUCCCGGGUCUUGUACACACCGCCCGUCACACCAUGGGAGUCAGUAACGCCCGAAGUCAGUGACCCAACCGAGAGGAGGGAGCUGCCGAAGGCGGGACGGAUAACUGGGGUGAAGUCGUAACAAGGUAAC
This 219-nucleotide ribosomal RNA is filed under the name uncultured bacterium. RNAcentral describes it as "partial 16S ribosomal RNA". It matches the Rfam family "Bacterial small subunit ribosomal RNA", at positions 1282 to 1500 of the family's 1533-position model. The record is from RNAcentral.